AGGAACUGCAUUUAAAACUAGUGAUCUAGAAUUUGGUAGAGGAUAGUAGAAUUUCCAGUGUAGAGGUGAAAUUCGUAGAUAUUGGAAAGAAUACCAGUGGCGAAGGCGACUAUCUGGGCCAUUUUUGACGCUGAGAUGCGAAAGCGUGGGUAGCAAACAGGAUUAGAUACCCUGGUAGUCCACGCAGUAAACGAUGAGUGCUAGUCGCUGGGUCAUUAGAUUCGGUGUCGAAGCUAACGCAUUAAGCACUCCGCCUGGGAAGUACGGUCGCAAGAUUAAAACUCAAAUAAAUUGACGGGGGCCCGCACAAGCGGUGGAGCAUGUGGUUUAAUUCGAAGCAACGCGAAGAACCUUACCAGUCCUUGACAUGGUGUGUUUAAAUUACAGUAUUGUAAUUUUUCAGUUCGGCUGGCACACACACAGGUGCUGCAUGGCUGUCGUCAGCUCGUGUCGUGAGAUGUUGGGUUAAGUCCCGCAACGAGCGCAACCCUCAUUUUUAGUUGCCAGCAGGUUAAGCUGGGCACUCUAAAGAAACUGCCGGUGAUAAGCUGGAGGAAGGCGGGGAUGACGUCAAGUCCUCAUGGCCCUUACGGGCUGGGCUACACACGUGCUACAAUGGUGGUGACAGAGGGAAGCAAUUUUGUAAAAAAAAGCAAAUCCCAAAAAGCCAUCUCAGUUCAGAUUGGACUCUGCAACUCGAGUCCAUGAAGUUGGAAUCGCUAGUAAUCGUAGAUCAGCAUGCUACGGUGAAUACGUUCUCGGGCCUUGUACACACCGCCCGUCACGCCAUGGGAGUUGGUUUUACCUUAAGCCGGUGCGCUAACCGCAAGGAAGCAGCCGUCCACGGUAGGGUCAGCGACU
This 861-nucleotide ribosomal RNA is filed under the name marine metagenome. RNAcentral's name for it is "bacterial SSU rRNA". It matches the Rfam family "Bacterial small subunit ribosomal RNA", at positions 616 to 1476 of the family's 1533-position model. The record is from RNAcentral.